RNAcentral lists this ribosomal RNA (202 nucleotides) under uncultured bacterium. Its description in RNAcentral is "partial 16S ribosomal RNA". It matches the Rfam family "Bacterial small subunit ribosomal RNA", at positions 159 to 355 of the family's 1533-position model. The record is from RNAcentral.
GAUGCUAAUACCGGAUAACAACACUAGACGCAUGUCUAGAGUUUAAAAGAUGGUUCUGCUAUCACUCUUGGAUGGACCUGCGGUGCAUUAGCUAGUUGGUAAGGUAACGGCUUACCAAGGCAAUGAUGCAUAGCCGAGUUGAGAGACUGAUCGGCCACAUUGGGACUGAGACACGGUCCAAACUCCUACGGGAGCAGCAGUC